AUGUCUCAGGGAAAGCUAACACUCUUGGUGGUUGCUCUGUUUGUUUGGUCUGUCGCUGAAGGUCAGACAAUAACUGAGUCUGAACCAGCAGUCAGGAAACCCGGAGAAUCUCACAGACUCACCUGCACAACAUCUGGAUUCAACUUUGGAGGCUCACUAUGGAAAAGGAUACACACUCAGAGUACUCCUAUAUCUUAUUCUCAGUCGGUCCAGGGUAGAUUCACUAUCUCCAGAGAUGACUCCAGCAGUAAAGUGUAUCUGCAGAUGAACAGUCUGAAGGCCGAGGACACAGCAGUGUAUUACUGUGCCAGAGAGACACAGUGACACACAAA
Molecule: non-coding RNA, 332 nt
Organism: Notothenia coriiceps (black rockcod)
Lineage: Eukaryota; Metazoa; Chordata; Actinopteri; Perciformes; Nototheniidae
Source: the annotation of a RefSeq genome assembly